CCUACGGGAGGCAGCAGUGAGGAAUAUUGGUCAAUGGACGAGAGUCUGAACCAGCCAAGUAGCGUGAAGGAUGACUGCCCUAUGGGUUGUAAACUUCUUUUAUAUGGGAAUAAAACAGGGUAUGCAUACCCUCUUGUAUGUACCAUAUGAAUAAGGAUCGGCUAACUCCGUGCCAGCAGCCGCGGUAAUACGGAGGCUCCGAGCGUUAUCCGGAUUUAUUGGGUGUAAAGGGAGCGUAGGUGGAUUGUUAAGUCAGUUGUGAAAGUUUGCGGCUCAACCGUAAAAUUGCAGUUGAAACUGGCAGUCGUGAGUACAGUAGAGGUGGGCGGAAUUCGUGGUGUAGCGGUGAAAUGCUUAGAUAUCACGAAGAACUCCGAUUGCGAAGGCAGCUCACUGGACUGCAACUGACACUGAUGCUCGAAAGUGUGGGUAUCAAACAGGAUUAGAUACCCGGGUAGUC
RNAcentral lists this ribosomal RNA (460 nucleotides) under uncultured bacterium. RNAcentral's name for it is "partial 16S ribosomal RNA". It matches the Rfam family "Bacterial small subunit ribosomal RNA", at positions 338 to 795 of the family's 1533-position model. The record is from RNAcentral.